Molecule: long non-coding RNA, 1640 nt
Filed under: Coturnix japonica (Japanese quail)
Lineage: Eukaryota; Metazoa; Chordata; Aves; Galliformes; Phasianidae
Description: lncRNA (ENSCJPG00005008021.1)
Source: RNAcentral
UGCAGCUUGCAUUAUUCCAGUUAAUAAUUACCUUCAUCACAGUAGUUAUUAGAGGCCCCAACUGCUGCAGACUCGAUGCAUGUACAAGGCAGUCUCUGCCUGAGGAGCUUGAGGUCUAACUAGGCAAGGCAGAUAGUGGAAGUGUUAUCAGUUUUAUUUUUACAGAGAGCUUAAAUGACCUGCCGAAGGUCACACAGAGAAUCUUAGGCGAACUCAUGACUGGAAUACAGAUCUGCUAUGUUUUAUUCAAGCGUCUAACCCAGGUUCCUGGCUAAGGAGGGCGUUCGUGAGGAGGCUGUCUGUGCACAUAUGGGUCUGGGGGCAGUUCUGGGCCGCAUACUGGACUUGCAUGUGUUCUCCUGUUUGAAGCAUGUCUGUGAGGAGCUUCAGGUGCUGUAGCUAAUGCAUGGGUGGCGACAGCUUCUAUGCAAGCACAAGGUGCCUUAGCAGAUUCCCAGCCAUCUGGUGCCUCACCAGCUGCUCUUGGUGCAGGAUGAAACUUAUCUCAAUUCAGCGACCCAGGCCUCAGGCAGUGGGGUGGAAGGAGCAUCGCUGGCCUCACAGGUGCUGUCUGCAGGAUGCACACCCAGACUGGGUAAAAGCUCUGGAGGGACGGGGGGAGAAUGGAGGGAAUGGGUGAAAGGCAGCCUCUUGUUGACCCCUUAGAAAAUGUUGACCAUAGAGAAAUGCUGACCUGGAGCAGUGUGAGGGGGCCUGGGUAGACCCCAGGGCUGUCCCAGCCAGCAUUUGGUUGACAGAAGUGAAGACAUUCAUCCAAGGCUGCAGAGGAUGUGUGAAGGUGAGACCCCUCGUUGUAGUGCUGCAACCAGCCUGGUUUGCUUUGAGGCCGUUUCUACAGGGGAAGGGGAGCAGAGCCUGGUAGCGAUGGAACUGGCAGUGGUGCAGGGAAAGAAGGGAAGUCUGCCUUAGGGCAGCUCAGCAGCUACCUGCAGGCAGGGAAUGGAGAGACAGCUGUUGGAAAUGUGUGGGGUGAGAGGCCCCAAGGAGUCUGACUGCAAGGAAGGGAGCGUACGUUGAUGUCUUUGAGGCAUCUAGUUGAGCGUUUCCUAAUUUCAUUAAGUCUGAUUUUUAUAAUCCCCUUGGGGUUGGAGCAGCUGACUGGAACACUCUUCACUCCUGUCCCUUGAUCCCUCCAGUGCCUGUCUCCAGAAACAGUGGUGAUGCAGGACCAGGUGAGGGGGAAGCAGCAGGUUGGCCACGUGAGCUGACAGGGAGUGACCAGGUUCCAUCCUUCAUUUCCAGAGAGCUCCUCUGCUUUGCGUGUGCCACUUCAGACUGCUCGGAGCACCCUCCUCCUGCUUUUAUGCGUUUUCCAAUUAAAUUUCCUCCAUGAGGAGGAGAGAGGCACUCUGAAUCCAUUAGCAUUAGUAAUUAUGCAAACGCUUCGGGGAGUUGACUGCCCAUCAUUACAUAUAAUUAAUGUUUCUGGUUAUGAAUGGAGGGUUUGUUACUUUUUUCUCCUUUUUGUGCUGGAAUAAGGCGGGGUAGAGGUACAAGGGGGUGAUGCUACUGUAUUUAAUUUGCAUAAUCAGAAGGCCUGAUUGGGUAUGCAUGAGGGUAGGGGCCGGGAGGAACCUUCUCCAGUGCACACUCUGUUAAGCUGGUGGGAAAACUCAGGA